RNAcentral lists this ribosomal RNA (460 nucleotides) under uncultured bacterium. RNAcentral describes it as "partial 16S ribosomal RNA". It matches the Rfam family "Bacterial small subunit ribosomal RNA", at positions 338 to 795 of the family's 1533-position model. The record is from RNAcentral.
CCUACGGGUGGCAGCAGUGAGGAAUAUUGGUCAAUGGACGAGAGUCUGAACCAGCCAAGUAGCGUGAAGGAUGACUGCCCUAUGGGUUUUAAGCUUCUUUUAUAUGGGAAUAAAACGUUCCACGUGUGGGAUUUUGUAUGUACCAUAUGAGUAAGGAUCGGCUAACUCCGUGCCAGCCGCCGCGGUAAUACGGAGGGUCCGAGCGUUAUCCGGAUUUAUUGGGUUUAAGGGGAGCGUAGGUGGAUUGUUAAGUCAGUUGUGAAAGUUUGCGGCUCAACCGUAAAAUUGCAGUUGAAACUGGCAGUCUUGAGUACAGUAGAGGGGGGCAGAAUUCGUGGUGUAGCGGUGAAAUGCUUAGAGAUCACGAAGAACUCCGAUUGCGAAGGCAGCUCACUGGACUGCAACUGACACUGAGGCUCGAAAGUGUGGGUAGCAAACAGGAUUAGAUACCCCAGUAGUC